UUUGGUCCAGCGGUAGCGCAGUACAUUUUUGUACGCGCUACCCAGGUUCGAAUCCCGGUGUUGCC
RNAcentral lists this transfer RNA (65 nucleotides) under Eutreptiella gymnastica. The record is from RNAcentral. Lineage: Eukaryota; Euglenozoa; Euglenophyceae; Eutreptiales; Eutreptiaceae.